Molecule: long non-coding RNA, 253 nt
Filed under: Elaeis guineensis (African oil palm)
Lineage: Eukaryota; Viridiplantae; Streptophyta; Magnoliopsida; Arecales; Arecaceae
Description: long non-coding RNA (EGUI_LNC019607)
Source: RNAcentral
AGUACGGACAUUGGACCGAAGUUCAAGAUGAUCAUUGCAGUCGAUAAUGCUCUUACUUCACUUGCCUUUGGGCAAGUAGGGGCAUCAGAUCGAGGUCGGUGAUGAUCUGCAUGGUGUAGCCAUCGGAGUGUCAGUGCAGGCUCUGAAUCUUGGGUACCUUCGAUGGUCAGGAGGAUUUCAUUUUGAUAGGGGUUGUGUGUGCAUGCUCCCGCACGCAUCUUUGCCUACUUGGGCAUCCUGCUUCUUUCCAAUC